ACGGUGGUGGGGAACCGCCCCGACGAGACGCGCCGUACCGGGCAGCUGGACGCAAAGACGACGCACC
Molecule: non-coding RNA, 67 nt
Filed under: Streptomyces sp.
Lineage: Bacteria; Bacillati; Actinomycetota; Actinomycetes; Kitasatosporales; Streptomycetaceae
Source: RNAcentral